GUCUUUCGUGAAAGCGUUUCUGGGUGCGGUCCUUACUGGAACAAGUGACGGCUGGCGUUAAUAAGCAUGCGGUGAGGGAAACAGAAGGCUCCGAGAAGUAAACGCUUUCGAGGUAGAGAGUGUCAUCCAGUCAUACCUCCGGCACGCAAACUGAGUGUAAUUGAAAGUUGGACGUAGUAAAUAAAAUUUGCCAGAGCACUA
Molecule: long non-coding RNA, 201 nt
Organism: Ornithodoros turicata
Lineage: Eukaryota; Metazoa; Arthropoda; Arachnida; Ixodida; Argasidae
Exons: 3
Source: RefSeq, a predicted model, not a curated record